RNAcentral lists this ribosomal RNA (222 nucleotides) under uncultured marine eukaryote. Its description in RNAcentral is "partial 18S ribosomal RNA". It matches the Rfam family "Eukaryotic small subunit ribosomal RNA", at positions 1205 to 1449 of the family's 1831-position model. The record is from RNAcentral.
GCGGGGAAACUCACCAGGUCCAGACACAAUGAGGGUUGACAGAUUGAGAGCUCUUUCUUGAUUUUGUGGGUGGUGGUGCAUGGCCGUUCUUAGUUGGUGGAGUGAUUUGUCUGCUUAAUUGCGAUAACGAACGAGACCUUAACCUGCUAAAUAGCCCGUAUUGCUUUGGCAGUACGCUGGCUUCUUAGAGGGACUAUCGGCUCAAGCCGAUGGAAGUUUGAG